AAAGCGUGCGCAGGCGGUUUUGUAAGACUGUCGUGAAAUCCCCGGGCUCAACCUGGGAAUGGCGAUGGUGACUGCAAGGCUAGAGUUUGGCAGAGGGGGGUAGAAUUCCACGUGUAGUAGUGAAAUGCGUAGAUAUGUGGAGGAACACCGAUGGCGAAGGCAGCCCCCUGGGUCAAAACUGACGCUCAUGCACGAAAGCGUGGGGAGCAAACAGGAUUAGAUACCCUGGU
RNAcentral lists this ribosomal RNA (230 nucleotides) under uncultured bacterium. RNAcentral describes it as "partial 16S ribosomal RNA". It matches the Rfam family "Bacterial small subunit ribosomal RNA", at positions 562 to 791 of the family's 1533-position model. The record is from RNAcentral.